This 465-nucleotide ribosomal RNA is filed under the name uncultured bacterium. RNAcentral's name for it is "partial 16S ribosomal RNA". It matches the Rfam family "Bacterial small subunit ribosomal RNA", at positions 28 to 506 of the family's 1533-position model. The record is from RNAcentral.
GAUGAACGCUGGCGGCGUGCUUAACACAUGCAAGUCGAACGAUGAAGCCCAGCUUGCUGGGUGGAUUAGUGGCGAACGGGUGAGUAACACGUGAGUAACCUGCCCUUAACUCUGGGAUAAGCCUGGGAAACUGGGUCUAAUACCGGAUAGGAGCGUCCACCGCAUGGUGGGUGUUGGAAAGAUUUAUCGGUUUUGGAUGGACUCGCGGCCUAUCAGCUUGUUGGUGAGGUAAUGGCUCACCAAGGCGACGACGGGUAGCCGGCCUGAGAGGGUGACCGGCCACACUGGGACUGAGACACGGCCCAGACUCCGACGGGAGGCAGCAGUGGGGAAUAUUGCACAAUGGGCGCAAGCCUGAUGCAGCGACGCCGCGUGAGGGAUGACGGCCUUCGGGUUGUAAACCUCUUUCAGUAGGGAAGAAGCGAAAGUGACGGUACCUGCAGAAGAAGCACCGGCUAACUACGU